RNAcentral lists this ribosomal RNA (323 nucleotides) under uncultured Rhogostoma. Its description in RNAcentral is "SSU rRNA". The stretch from base 108 to 323 matches the Rfam family "Eukaryotic small subunit ribosomal RNA", at positions 738 to 955 of the family's 1831-position model. The record is from RNAcentral. Lineage: Eukaryota; Cercozoa; Thecofilosea; Cryomonadida.
GAUUUCUGAUUGACCACCCUGGCCCGCGGCUUAUCGGUCGUGAGUGCUGGUGUGAGUCUGUCAUCCUUCUAGAGAGCCAUGCCUGCUGUUCACUCAGCUGGGCGUGUGCGAUCUAGAUCAUUUACUUUGAAAAAAUUAGAGUGUUUAAAGCAGGCUUAUGCUGUGAAUACAUUAGCAUGGAAUAAUAAUAUAGGACUUCGGUUCUAUUUUGUUGGUUUCUAGGACUGAAGUAAUGAUUGAUAGGGAUAGUUGGGGGUGCUAGUAUUCAGCGGCCAGAGGUGAAAUUCUUGGAUUCGCUGAAGACUAACUACUGCGAAAGCAUU